GACGAACGCUAGCGGGAGGCCUAACACAUGCAAGCCGAGCGGUAUUGUUUCUUCGGAAAUGAGAGAGCGGCGUACGGGUGCGUAACACGUGUGCAACCUGCCUUUAUCUGGGGGAUAGCCUUUCGAAAGGAAGAUUAAUACUCCAUAAUAUAUUGAACGGCAUCGUUUAAUAUUGAAAGCUCCGGCGGAUAGAGAUGGGCACGCGCAAGAUUAGCUAGUUGGUGAGGUAACGGCUCACCAAGGCGAUGAUCUUUAGGGGGCCUGAGAGGGUGAUCCCCCACACUGGUACUGAGACACGGACCAGACUCCUACGGGAGGCAGCAGUGAGGAAUAUUGGUCAAUGGGUGCAAGCCUGAACCAGCCAUCCCGCGUGAAGGACGACUGCCCUAUGGGUUGUAAACUUCUUUUGUAUAGGGAUAAACCUACCCUCGUGAGGGUAGCUGAAGGUACUAUACGAAUAAGCACCGGCUAACUCCGUG
RNAcentral lists this ribosomal RNA (479 nucleotides) under uncultured bacterium. Its description in RNAcentral is "partial 16S ribosomal RNA". It matches the Rfam family "Bacterial small subunit ribosomal RNA", at positions 28 to 507 of the family's 1533-position model. The record is from RNAcentral.